GCGGCAACAGCUCAAAUUUGAAAUCUGGCUUCGGCCCGAGUUGUAAUUUGCAGAGGAAGCUUUAGGCGCGGCACCUUCUGAGUCCCCUGGAACGGGGCGCCAUAGAGGGUGAGAGCCCCGUAUAGUUGGAUGCCUAGCCUGUGUAAAGCUCCUUCGACGAGUCGAGUAGUUUGGGAAUGCUGCUCAAAAUGGGAGGUAAAUUUCUUCUAAAGCUAAAUACCGGCCAGAGACCGAUAGCGCACAAGUAGAGUGAUCGAAAGAUGAAAAGCACUUUGAAAAGAGGGUUAAAUAGCACGUGAAAUUGUUGAAAGGGAAGCGCUUGUGACCAGACUUGCGCCGGGCAGAUCAUCCGGUGUUCUCACCGGUGCACUCUGCCCGGCUCAGGCCAGCAUCGGUUCUCGCGGGGGGAUAAAGGUCCUGGGAACGUAGCUCCUCCGGGAGUGUUAUAGCCCGGGGCGUAAUGCCCUCGCGGGGACCGAGGUUCGCGCAUCUGCAAGGAUGCUGGCGUAAUGGUCAUCAGCGACCCGUCUUGAAACACGGACCAAGGAGUCAAGGUUUUGCGCGAGUGUUUGGGUGUAAAACCCGCACGCGUAAUGAAAGUGAACGUAGGUGAGAGCUUCGGCGCAUCAUCGACCGAUCCUGAUGUUUUCGGAUGGAUUUGAGUAGGAGCGUUAAGCCUUGGACCCGAAAGAUGGUGAACUAUGCUUGGAUAGGGUGAAGCCAGAGGAAACUCUGGUGGAGGCUCGCAGCGGUUCUGACGUGCAAAUCGAUCGUCAAAUCUGAGCAUGGGGGCGAAAGACUAAUCGAACCAUCUAGUAGCUGGUUACCGCCGAAG
This 835-nucleotide ribosomal RNA is filed under the name Chaetomium subglobosum. RNAcentral's name for it is "LSU rRNA". It matches the Rfam family "Eukaryotic large subunit ribosomal RNA", at positions 98 to 966 of the family's 3401-position model. The record is from RNAcentral. Lineage: Eukaryota; Fungi; Ascomycota; Sordariomycetes; Sordariales; Chaetomiaceae.